Molecule: ribosomal RNA, 619 nt
Filed under: Enterococcus faecalis
Lineage: Bacteria; Bacillati; Bacillota; Bacilli; Lactobacillales; Enterococcaceae
Description: partial 23S ribosomal RNA
Rfam family: Bacterial large subunit ribosomal RNA
Source: RNAcentral
UAAGGAAUGCAUGCGAUUGGAAGUGCAUGUCCAAGCAAUGAGUCUUGAGUAGAGUUAAAUGCUUUACUCUUUAAGGACAAGUUGUGACGGGGAGCGAAAUAAUAGUAGCGAAGUUCCUGAUGUCACACUGCCAAGAAAAGCUUCUAGUGAGAAAACAACUGCCCGUACCGUAAACCGACACAGGUAGUCGAGGAGAGUAUCCUAAGGUGAGCGAGCGAACUCUCGUUAAGGAACUCGGCAAAAUGACCCCGUAACUUCGGGAGAAGGGGUGCUGACUUCGGUCAGCCGCAGUGAAUAGGCCCAAGCGACUGUUUAUCAAAAACACAGGUCUCUGCAAAAUCGUAAGAUGAAGUAUAGGGGCUGACGCCUGCCCGGUGCUGGAAGGUUAAGAGGAUGGGUUAGCUUCGGCGAAGCUCAGAAUUGAAGCCCCAGUAAACGGCGGCCGUAACUAUAACGGUCCUAAGGUAGCGAAAUUCCUUGUCGGGUAAGUUCCGACCCGCACGAAAGGCGUAACGAUUUGGGCACUGUCUCAACGAGAGACUCGGUGAAAUUUUAGUACCUGUGAAGAUGCAGGUUACCCGCGACAGGACGGAAAGACCCCAUGGAGCUUUACUGUAGU